GUUAUUCUGUAUGUUGGUAAAUUGAACACCAAUAAAAAAUUAACUUAUUAAAAGAAAAAAAGAAAAAGAGGUGAGGCUCAGCGGCUAAGCGUGCUUGCCUUCGACUCAGGGCGUGAUCCCAGGGUCCUGGGAUCGAGUCCCGCAUCCGGCUCCCUGCAUGAGGCCUGCUUCUCCCUCUCCCUGUGUCUCUGCCUGUCUCUCAUGCAUAAAGUCUUAAAAAAAGAAAAAAAAAAAAGGAAGAAAGAAAGAGGCGAGCCUGCGGGCGAAGGGCAGCUAUAGGCUCCAGGGUGCGGUGAGGCCGCGGGGUGCAAGGGUCCGGUGAGCCUCCGGGUGAGGCAAGGCUGUGGGGUGUGGCAAGCCUCCGGGAUGCAGCGAGGCCGCGGGGUGCAGGCGUGUGGCGAGACUCCAGGGUACAGGGGUGCAGCGUGGCUCCGGGGUGCAGCGAGACCGCGGAGUGCAGGGAUUCAUCCCUCGUGAAGAUGGAGAAGACAAGUUCACGUCCUGGUUCUCAAGGCUUGUGAGUGGGCAUAGAUUUGCAAGAAAAAGCAAGUUAGGUGCUGUUUUAGGGGUGUGUGUGGAGAAGCCAGAGAAUACGCAGGAAGCUUGUGUCGACUUCGUGUUCAGCCUUCACUCUUCUCCUUGGGCCAAGCUCGUGAUGACUUUGUCUCUCCCUUUCUGAUCCUGGCGACGUUACCAUCUUUCAUCUCCCCGGUGUGCAGGCCCUGCUCUCCAGAAUAGAGCUGAGGUAAGGCUGCGACGGGGACCCUGCUGGUCAGUCCCUGAUGCUGAUUCUGGAGACAUCCCCCCUCCCUAAAAGCACGUUCAUG
This 827-nucleotide long non-coding RNA is filed under the name Canis lupus familiaris (dog). RNAcentral describes it as "lncRNA (ENSCAFG00845013315.1)". Lineage: Eukaryota; Metazoa; Chordata; Mammalia; Carnivora; Canidae. The record is from RNAcentral.